GUACUUGCUUUGGCAGCACAUAUACUAAAAGUUGAAACAGUACAGAGAAGACUAGCAUGGCCCCCACGAAGGAUAACGUGCAAAUUCAUAAAGCACUCUGUAUAUUU
RNAcentral lists this small nuclear RNA (107 nucleotides) under Moschus moschiferus (Siberian musk deer). The record is from RNAcentral. Lineage: Eukaryota; Metazoa; Chordata; Mammalia; Artiodactyla; Moschidae.